Molecule: ribosomal RNA, 460 nt
Filed under: uncultured bacterium
Lineage: Bacteria
Description: partial 16S ribosomal RNA
Rfam family: Bacterial small subunit ribosomal RNA
Source: RNAcentral
CCUACGGGUGGCAGCAGUGAGGAAUAUUGGUCAAUGGACGAGAGUCUGAACCAGCCAAGUAGCGUGAAGGAUGACUGCCCUAUGGGUUGUAAACUUCUUUUAUAUGGGAAUAAAAUGUUCCACGUGUGGGAUUUUGUAUGUACCAUAUGAAUAAGGAUCGGCUAACUCCGUACCAGCAGCCGCGGUAAUACGGAGGAUCCGAGCGUUAUCCGGAUUUAUUGGGUUUAAAGGGAGCGUAGGUGGAUUGUUAAGUCAGUUGUGAAAGUUUGCGGCUCAACCGUAAAAUUGCAGUUGAAACUGGCAGUCUUGAGUACAGUAGAGGUGGGCGGAAUUCGUGGUGUAGCGGUGAAAUGCUUAGAUAUCACGAAGAACUCCGAUUGCGAAGGCAGUUCACUGGACUGCAACUGACACUGAGGCUCGAAAGUGUGGGUAUCAAACAGGAUUAGAUACCCGAGUAGUC